This 464-nucleotide ribosomal RNA is filed under the name uncultured bacterium. RNAcentral describes it as "partial 16S ribosomal RNA". It matches the Rfam family "Bacterial small subunit ribosomal RNA", at positions 28 to 507 of the family's 1533-position model. The record is from RNAcentral.
GACGAACGCUGGCGGCGUGCUUAACACAUGCAAGUUGAGCGGAAAGGCCACUUCGGUGGUACUCGAGCGGCGCACGGGUGAGUAACACGUGAGUAAUCUGCCCUUGGCUUUGGGAUAGCCACCGGAAACGGUGAUUAAUACCGGAUACGACCACUCCAGGCAUCUGGUGGUGGUGGAAAGUUUUUCGGCCAGGGAUGUGCUCGCGGCCUAUCAGCUUGAUGGUGAGGUAAUGGCUCACCAUGGCUUCGACGGGUAGCCGGCCUGAGAGGGUGACCGGUCACACUGGGACUGAGACACGGCCCAGACUCCUACGGGAGGCAGCAGUGGGGAAUAUUGGACAAUGGGCGGAAGCCUGAUCCAGCAACGCCGCGUGAGGGAUGACGGCCUUCGGGUUGUAAACCUCUUUCGGUAGGGACGAAGCGCAAGUGACGGUACCUACUAAAGAAGCACCGGCCAACUACGUG